UAAAAUUUAUUUUAAAAUAAAAAUUUACAUAUAAGAAAGAGACUAAAAAAUACAAAGAACUUAACUAAUUUUAUAAUAAAAAUGUUUUAUUCAUUCACUGAUCGCCAAUUCAUCAAACUCGCUUUUCGUUUAUUAAAAGCAAAUACAAGUUUUCUAUUAUUCGUGGCAGUUAAAAUAUCUAUGAAUCUAAUAUAGAAUACAUAUAAUAUUUAUGAAAUCUAAUGAAUAAUUAUAUGACAUAUAUUUAUAAAAAGAUGUAUCGAAGAUAUUUGUUUUUAACAUCUAUUGAUUUUAUUAAUUUCUGUGAUUGAAUUGAAUAUAAUUUCUGUAGUCAUCGCUGUAAAUCAAAAAAGAUACAUUACAUACUCAAAGUUUUUACAUGUACGUGUAUGCACAAAGUAAUACCAUAAUUACAUUAAUAUUUAUCUUUUUAUUUUUAAAUUUAUUGAAACUAUCAUUAAAAUAUUUUGUGUAAAGAAAAUACGAACAUACCACAAUAGGAAUGGUAUUUACAUCGUUUGGAAGCGUUAUUUUUCAAGAAU
Long non-coding RNA from Apis florea (little honeybee), 542 nucleotides. Lineage: Eukaryota; Metazoa; Arthropoda; Insecta; Hymenoptera; Apidae. The record is from RefSeq and is a predicted model, not a curated record.